CAUCAGGCGCCCACCUGGAGAAUGAGGGAAUUUAUUUCAAAGUUUUUUAAGUCAUCAGGCGCCCACCUGGAGAAUGAGGGAAUAUAUUUCAAGUUUUUAGGUCAUCAGGCGCCCACCUGGAGAAUGAGGGAAUUUAUUUCAAAGUUUUUUAAGUCAUCAGGCACCCACCUGGAGAAUGAGGGAAUAUAUUUUAAGUUUUUAGGUCAUCAGGCACCCACCUGGAGAACGAGGGAAUUUAUUUCAAGUUUUUAAUUCAUCAGGCACCCACCUGGAGAAUGAGGGAAUAUAUUUCAAGUUUUUAUGUCAUCAGGCGCCCACCUGGAGAACGAGGGAAUUCAUUUCAGUUUAAAGUCAUCAGGCGCCCACCUGGAGAACGAGGGAAGUCACUUAAGAAUUCAACCAAGUUAGAAGUAGCAAAAGUUCGCCUCGAGAAUGCGAGUUGACAGUCCGAGAUAACCAAAGGAAGAAGUCUCAAUCCAGAAUAAAAGGAAAAGGGUGAAUCCAAAAUGCAGAAGCCGAUGAAAGAUGUGAACUGCUCGAGACAUGGCUGAAGUCACAAGCUUUGCAUGUCCCGUCUUGAUCCGAAAAGCUGAAGAAGAGAGAACUAGCACUUGCAACUAGCAAACAUCAAGGUUUAAGUCAAAAGUCUGCAUGAAGAACCAUUCAAGACUCAAGAUCAAGCUUCAGAAGACUUAUAGAUAGGAAUCUUGUAACUCAUAGCUGACAGGCUUAGUUAGUCUUUUUUAUUUUUUUGAUUUUGAUGUAAUAACAGGAUCGCGGACCAGAACCUCGACGGAACGGCACCUCACUCGACUCUCUCAUCCUCUCCACACACUCCAUCCCUUCAUUCACCUCUUGAACUACACGCGACCUGAUUCCCUUAUAACCCGGGAUAUGUAGGUUGUCCAAAGUUAGGACUCGGUUGCACCUUUUCCCUUUUAUUUUCUUCCUCUUUUGAAUAACGUUGUGGUCAAAAAUUAGUCACACGGCUCACUUUGUCUUUGCCUGAAAACUCUUCAUGUUUCCAAGCAAAGAGGGGCAGCUGUAAGCACCUAAUUUUUUACCAUACUUGUGAUUUUUCAACACUUUUUAGUAUGUAAAUAAUUUUAAGUUUAAUCUACAUAUUUUAACCUUUAUUUCAUUUUUAGUAGGUUUUAUUUAAGAAAAUUAAAAAUCACAAAAAUUAUAUGUUCUUGAUUUUAAAAUAUUUAGCUAGUAUUUUUAUUUUACACUCUUAAAAGAAAAAAAAUUAUUAUUAAUUAAAGCAAGAAUCAAUGAGUCAUUUCCAUGUGGCAAGAUUCUUCCUUAUCUUUUGUAACAAACUCACAUGCUCUCCCUAACAAACUCACACGCCUAUCUACAUUUAUCAGAGAAUGGACUCUCCUCUCAAGAGGGAUUCUGCAUUUCUUAAAA
RNAcentral lists this long non-coding RNA (1413 nucleotides) under Nicotiana tabacum (common tobacco). RNAcentral's name for it is "long non-coding RNA (NTAB_LNC012606)". Lineage: Eukaryota; Viridiplantae; Streptophyta; Magnoliopsida; Solanales; Solanaceae. The record is from RNAcentral.